UACGUAGGACCCAAGCGUUGUCCGGAUUUACUGGGUGUAAAGGGUGCGCAGGCGGAUGGGUAAGUCAGAGGUGAAAGUCUGCAGCUUAACUGUAGAAUUGCCUUUGAUACUGCUCGUCUUGAGUGUGGGAGAGGUUGAUGGAAUUCCAGGUGUAGCAGUGAAAUGCGUAGAUAUCUGGAAGAACACCAGUGGCGAAGGCGGUCAACUGGCCCAUAACUGACGCUCAUGCACGAAAGCGUGGGUAGCGAACAGGAUUAGAAACCCCCGUAGUCC
This 273-nucleotide ribosomal RNA is filed under the name uncultured bacterium. RNAcentral's name for it is "partial 16S ribosomal RNA". It matches the Rfam family "Bacterial small subunit ribosomal RNA", at positions 524 to 796 of the family's 1533-position model. The record is from RNAcentral.